Non-coding RNA from Candidatus Cloacimonas sp. 4484_209, 75 nucleotides. The record is from Rfam. Lineage: Bacteria; Pseudomonadati; Candidatus Cloacimonadota; Cloacimonadia (SeqCode); Cloacimonadales (SeqCode); Cloacimonadaceae (SeqCode).
GGGCGCGUGGCCUAGCCAGGAUAGGGCGCUGGCCUUCUAAGCCAGUGGUCGCGGGUUCGAAUCCCGCCGCGUCCG